AGGGGCCGGAAACCCCCUUUUUAUUAUUACUCUUUGGACAACCUGCCUCAUUUGCUGGGGAUAACAUUUUGGAAACAGAUGCUAAUACCGAAUAAAACUUAGUGUCGCAUGACUCAAAGUUAAAAGGCGCUUCGGCGUCACCUAGAGAUGGAUCCGCGGUGCAUUAGUUAGUUGGUGGGGUAAAGGCCUACCAAGACAAUGAUGCAUAGCCGAGUUGAGAGACUGAUCGGCCACAUUGGGACUGAGACACGGCCCAAACUCCUACGGGAGGCUGCAGUAGGGAAUCUUCCACAAUGGGCGAAAGCCUGAUGGAGCAACGCCGCGUGUGUGAUGAAGGCUUUCGGGUCGUAAAGCACUGUUGUAUGGGAAGAACAGCUAGAAUAUGAAAUGAUUUUAGUUUGACGGUACCAUACCAGAAAGGGACGGCUAAAUACGUGCCAUCAGCCGCGGUAAUACGUAUGUCCCGAGCGUUAUCCGGAUUUAUUGGGCGUAAAGCGAGCGCAGACGGUUUAUUAAGUCUGAUGUGAAAGCCCGGAGCUCAACUCCGGAAUGGCAUUGGAAACUGGUUAACUUGAGUGCAGUAGAGGUAAGUGGAACUCCAUGUGUAGCGGUGGAAUGCGUAGAUAUAUGGAAGAACACCAGUGGCGAAGGCGGGCUUACUGGACUGCAACUGACGUUGAGGCUCGAAAGUGUGGGUAGCAAACAGGAUUAGAUACCCUGGUAGUCCACACCGUAAACGAUGAACACUAGUGUGUUAGGAGGUUUCCGCCUCUUAGUGCCGAAGCUAACGCAUUAAGUGUUCCGCCUGGGGGAGUACGACCGCAAGGUUGAAACUCAAAGGAAUUGACGGGGACCGCACAGCGGUGGAGCAUGUGGUUUAUUUCGAAGCAACGCGAAGACCUUACCAGGUCUUGACAUCCUUUGAAGCUUUUGAGAUAGAAGUGUUCUCUUCGGAGAACAAAGUGACAGGUGGUGGCAUGGUCGUCGUCAGCCUCGUGUCGUGAGAUGUGGGUUUAGUCCCGCUACCGACCGCCAUCCCUAUGGUUAGUGCAGCAUCAGAUGGCAAUCUAGACGAGAACUGGCGGGUAACAAAUCGGUAG
Molecule: ribosomal RNA, 1100 nt
Filed under: Leuconostoc mesenteroides
Lineage: Bacteria; Bacillati; Bacillota; Bacilli; Lactobacillales; Lactobacillaceae
Description: bacterial SSU rRNA
Rfam family: Bacterial small subunit ribosomal RNA
Source: RNAcentral